Molecule: ribosomal RNA, 587 nt
Filed under: uncultured bacterium
Lineage: Bacteria
Description: partial 16S ribosomal RNA
Rfam family: Bacterial small subunit ribosomal RNA
Source: RNAcentral
UGGGGAAUUUUGGACAAUGGGCGAAAGCCUGAUCCAGCAAUGCCGCGUGUGUGAAGAAGGCCUUCGGGUUGUAAAGCACUUUUGUCCGGAAAGAAAUCCUUGGCUCUAAUACAGUCGGGGGAUGACGGUACCGGAAGAAUAAGCACCGGCUAACUACGUGCCAGCAGCCGCGGUAAUACGUAGGGUGCAAGCGUUAAUCGGAAUUACUGGGCGUAAAGCGUGCGCAGGCGGUUUGCUAAGACCGAUGUGAAAUCCCCGGGCUCAACCUGGGAACUGCAUUGGUGACUGGCAGGCUAGAGUAUGGCAGAGGGGGGUAGAAUUCCACGUGUAGCAGUGAAAUGCGUAGAGAUGUGGAGGAAUACCGAUGGCGAAGGCAGCCCCCUGGGCCAAUACUGACGCUCAUGCGCGAAAGCGUGGGGAGCAAAACAGGAUUAGAUACCCUGGUAGUCCACGCCCUAAAACGAUGUCAACUAGUUGUUGGGGAUUCAUUUCCUUAGUAACGUAGCUAACGCGUGAAGUUGACCGCCUGGGGAGUACGGUCGCAAGAUUAAAACUUAAAGGAAUUGACGGGGUCAUAGCUGUUUCCU